Pelobates cultripes (western spadefoot toad) is the source of this 865-nucleotide non-coding RNA. The record is from the annotation of a GenBank genome assembly. NCBI's taxonomy places the organism in Eukaryota, Metazoa, Chordata, Amphibia, Anura, Pelobatidae.
UAGAAUGCAUAUGUAAAAACAUUUCAUUUUUAUUGAAACAAUAUUCUGCAGAAAUAUGGCAAUUUCUGUGCGAUUUUUCAGUCUUAUUUGUAUAGCAGCUCAGUGAUGUACAUUCUAAUUUGCUGUAGAAAGAGGCACAUACAUUUAAAUUGAGAUUGGAGAAAGUUUAAAAUUCUUGUGACAUAGGUUUAAAAGUUUAUGCAGUCUUUCGGGUACACCUUGUAACACAAAAUGUUACUCAAAGGAAGAUUCUUCAUAAGUUAACCAAGGGUCUAUGGACAAAUCAAGUCCUUUAACAAAGUUAUCAGACAUUUUGCCUUUCCAUUUCUUAAAAGGGCGACACUUUUUUUUUUCCUUUUAAAUAGUCAAGGAGUGACCGUAAGCAUGUUUUUCCAAAUUAGUACAAUUUGCCUACACGACACAUCUGUGCUUUCUUUCCGUCACACACACCAACUUGGCAUAUAGAGGCAUAGGGCAAAAUCGAGAAGAGCAUGCAUUCUUAAUUGUAUAUAAAUGUGAAAAGUAGGUGUGGUAUAGAAAUGCUAAGAAUUAUCGAAAAAUUAGUUUAGUUUCUAAUGUUAUGUGCCAUUUUACUUAUAAAGAGUAAUUUAUAUGCAGAUGCUCAGUAUGAUUUUUAAUAUUUCUGAUUCAUUGACGUUUCCCCUUUAGUUCGGUAUAUUGCAUGCUAUAAUGCUUACUUUGAUCUAAUGAAAACUUAAAUGACCUAACAAAAAAAAAUAAAAAAAAAAAUAUCGAAACCCUCUUACUUCCAUGCAUUUAGUGACAUAUUGUCCAGUGCCAGUUUGUAUCACAAAACUGAUAUUUGAGACCCUUACAAAAAAAAUAAAAAAUAAAUAUGUUGUGG